GUUUGGUAUCACUGCGAUGCAUUGCCCGCUAGGCUCAUCUUUUUUUUUUCUUUUCGGCGCCGGCCGCUUUCUGCCGUUCACGCUUCACUCCUUCUUUUUCAUACACUCCCGGACGGGAUAAGCAGAGCUCUUGAUUUAUCGCUUCCGUGGCACGGCGUCUUGAGUCCGCCUGCAGCCCUCGAAGCCCCAGCGAGCGUCAUUCGGCCGCCUCGCUCGGUCUGAUUCGUGCAUUCGUCCGCAGCACCGUCGCUUAUCGCCUUUGUUGACAAGAGGCCACCGCCCACAAACUGUUGCCGCAUUUAAUUUCCUUGUUCUUUACCAUCCAAAGAGGCGGAAGCGAAGAGAGAAGGGCAACGCCGCUGCCACCCGCGGCUCUCACUUGUAUCUUCGCUAAGAGCAGUUUGCUCGACGUAAUUGCUCUUGGUUCAAAAAUCGUCUUUUGGCCAUCACCGCCAACACACCCCAACGCCCCCUGCUCAUCGACAAGGAAAACAGCGUUCAAGCAAAAAAAAAAAUAAAGCGAAAACACUAACGUCAGAGAUGGAAUGCGUGGCGACGAAGGCCGAACAAGCUAAGAAAGAUAAAAGAAACUUCCCUUUCUUUAUUACCAUUGUGCAUUAUCGAACCCCCGCAGCCUCCACCUCUCCUCCCUCGCUGGGCUCCCCUUUCCAUUCCACGGAGACCCACGCGCAUACAAAACGACAGCGACCUCUUUGGAGAAAAUGGAUGGCAAGGUAAUUGUGUUUCUCCGUACAAGCAGCGUGGCCCGUUUGCCGCUAUACCGUCGCCUCCGCUCGCUCAACGUAGCGCUGGUGCUGGUGCACCCCUUCACCCCAUUGCCUGCGUUUGACGGUGUCUUUUCGCACUGGCUGCAGCACGAGACGAGCGACGUGGAUGAGGUGCACCUUGCCUUGUCGGCCUUCCUGGCAUCGCGUGGGCUCGUCCCUGACGCGGUUGUGUCCUUCGACGAGUAUGCCGUCUACCAAGCGGCGUUAAUUGCCGCGCGGUUGAAUCUCACCCCGAUCCCUCUCCCACCUGCUGCGGUUCUACAGAACAACAUGAAGGAUUUGUUUCGGCUGUUCUGCAGCGAGCACGGCAUCCCGUCGCCAAAGUCGGUGCCGCUCCCUGUAGCGGCGGCGCUUCCGACACCAGGAGAGAUGAGCAAACGUGCGCGCGACGCGGAUGCGCUCUCGAUGGCGUUCGAGAAGGCUCGGCCGGCGCUGAUCAAGACUAUUUCCAAGACAAUAGAGGCCGCGGCGCUCGCGUUCCCAGUGGUGCUAAAGCCCAGUCCAGGGGCUGGAAGCCUGCUAACCCGCUUGUGCUCCACCCUGGACGACGCGGUGGCGCAUGUGUGGUACAUGUGGACGAUGCUCGCGAGCCAUCCAGACACACGGCACUUUGCCGCCCUCACCAAGAGUGCAGCGGCUGGACCUGUGCGCGAAGAAGGCGCGGCCGCUGUGCACAUACUCGCGGAGGAGUUCAUUGAGGGACAGGAGGUCGACAUGGACUGCGUUGUCGAGCACGGCGUCGUGCGCUUCUGCUCCAUCUCGGACAACUUCGAACCGUCUCUGCCGUACUUUGCUGAGGUUGGCGGGAUUUGCCCAUCACAGCUGGGGCACCGCGGCCAGUGUGCCCUGCGUGAAUUGCUCGACUUAUACGUCUCCGCGCACGGAGCGCACUUGCACGGCGUUAUUCAUUUUGAAGCCAAAUACGACCCAGCACGCCAGCGAGCCUACGUGAUUGAGGUGAACUGUCGGCCUGGAAGCGCGGAAACGAACGUUAUGGUUCAAACUGUGUAUCGUGGGUUGAACCUGGGUGAGGCGCUGGUGCGCUGUGCGUUGCAGAUGCCUAUCCAGGAGCAACUGGCAGGCCUUUUCCCAGAGCUUCUAGCCGGCCAGCAAGAAGAAGGUGGGGUGCAGAUGCUGUGGCAGACGGCGACUCCACCGCGCCAUUCCGAGGCGGACGCAAACGAGGGUAUCCCGAUCUCCGCUGCACGCACAGCGGUGUGGUCGCUGCUCGGCGGCCCGUCUCGCGGCUUCUUUCCACCACAGUGCUGGGCGGCGUCUGUGAACAUUUAUCCGAACCAGGCUGGGGUGCUGAGUAAGGCACGUGUUCCGGUAGAGGACGCUUCGCUCGUUGCCUUCUCCGUCUCGGCGAGGCCGGGUGAGGCCGUGGCACCGCCGCCGAAGCAAUUCUACAUGCUUUGCUGGAUGGUGGUCCGAGGCGCGACCGACGAGGAGGCGAAGGCGAACAUCUGGCGAGUGACGAGCACAUUUGAGCAGGAGGUGGCGCCGCCGUUCUGAUGCAGGUGUGAUGUCUCGAAACGGGAGCGCAUACAUAAACGCAAAGCUGCGAAGCAUUCGCAAAGUGCGCGGCCACGGCGGCGCCGGUAAAGGGUAAGGGCGAACGCGCCGUGCUCGUGUCCCUAUGCGCGUUUUUGCUCGAGAACGUGAACGCUUUCGCUUCCAUUUUUUCUCUCGCCUUUCUUGCACCUCCAUGUUGUGGGGAGGUCGAGUAAAGUGGGGGAGGGGGCGGAGAGGUUCUAUACUGCCGGGGAUGUGCGCCAGCGCACACGUGCUUGACGGGUGUCCUUAUUAUUCACUGAUAUUUUUCUCUUCACGUCUUUGCUCCCUGAUAAAG
RNAcentral lists this unclassified non-coding RNA (2640 nucleotides) under Leishmania donovani. Its description in RNAcentral is "gene:LdHU3.35.2940(CDS-product:ATP-grasp_domain_c ontaining_protein_putative)". Lineage: Eukaryota; Euglenozoa; Kinetoplastea; Trypanosomatida; Trypanosomatidae. The record is from RNAcentral.